This 326-nucleotide antisense RNA is filed under the name Streptomyces roseochromogenus subsp. oscitans DS 12.976. RNAcentral describes it as "Saccharopolyspora sRNA 350". It matches the Rfam family "Saccharopolyspora sRNA 350", at positions 182 to 513 of the family's 513-position model. The record is from Rfam by way of RNAcentral. Lineage: Bacteria; Bacillati; Actinomycetota; Actinomycetes; Kitasatosporales; Streptomycetaceae.
CCAGAGCCAGGGCCGAAGCUGGUGGCGGGCCGGCCUCGGGGUGCCGGACCGGCAGGCCCCGCGCCAUCACCCGGCUGCAGCAGCGGCAGUUCGCCCAAUUCGGCGGGGACGACCUUGACCGCGGCGCCCUCCUGGACGAACCUCACCCGGCCGUCACCGACCUCGUACACCAGGCACCGGUUGACCCGGUAGGUGCCGCCCUUCGCCUCCACCCAGGGCAGCAUGCGCAGCAGCCACCGUGAGCUGAUGCCCUGCAUCUGUGGCACGGUCUUGGUGAUGGUCGCCAGGUUGCGGGCGGCGGCGAUCCCGAGACUGAGCUGCGCCCG